GGUGGUUGUGGUACAUGCCUUUAAUCCCAGC
Molecule: non-coding RNA, 31 nt
Filed under: Rattus norvegicus (Norway rat)
Lineage: Eukaryota; Metazoa; Chordata; Mammalia; Rodentia; Muridae
Source: RNAcentral